Molecule: non-coding RNA, 862 nt
Organism: Taeniopygia guttata (zebra finch)
Lineage: Eukaryota; Metazoa; Chordata; Aves; Passeriformes; Estrildidae
Source: RefSeq, a predicted model, not a curated record
UUGGUUUUUUAUUCUUAACAACUGAAAAUUAGUUGAAAAAGAAAACCCACCAGUAUGGCUGGAUCUGGAGCUGCCUGCACUUGUGGUCAGAUCUACCAAAGGAAGGGACAUCUCAUCUGGACAAUGGCUAUGAAGACCCAACUGCUUUAAGUGUUUAUAGUCCCAGACCUGAUCUCAUGUCAUUUUACACACAGAGGGAGAAGCCCUGGCCCCAUGUGGGGCUGUGGGCUGGCUCAGACUCCAGCUGAAAUUCCACAGUGAACAAGCCAAGGCACCCUCCAACCUCAAGGCCAGCAAUGGCCCCUAAGGGAUGCUUCAAUGACACAAAAUCUGCUGUUGGUGCUCUUAGGAUGGCCCUGAAUUACCCCAUCACUCACCAUCAACCAAAUGUUCAGGCAGCACCAAGGAGAGCCAUGGAAGAGCUCAGCACAUCUGCGUGAGCUGAUGAGGCUUGGGAGUGUGCGAGAAAUCCCCUCCUCCUGGGACAUUUCCCUCACGGGGUGCCACUCUCAGAGGGGGAACAUCUGAUGGAGAGCAGCAAUGAGGACAGACCUGGAGGGUCCACUGUGUGGCUGUGACCACAGCACACGUCCAGGAGUGGGCCACCGUGCUGCUCAGGACCAGCAAAAACCAGCCCAGGACACCAGGCAAUGGCUGGGGUCAAAGGAGCCAUGAAAUAAACACCCUUCCUGAGCUAUUCCAUUUCUUCAAGAUGCAGGAAGCUGAUAACCAAAGAAAAUAAAUUCUUGCUGAGAACUAACUCUUUGAGUCACUUAUGUAUUUGUAAGCAUCUGUGCAGAAAGGUCCAGACAAAAUAAUUUCUUCCCAAAAAGUAUAGGUAAAAGAAUGUACAAAAACUGUG